RNAcentral lists this ribosomal RNA (388 nucleotides) under uncultured bacterium. Its description in RNAcentral is "bacterial SSU rRNA". It matches the Rfam family "Bacterial small subunit ribosomal RNA", at positions 29 to 416 of the family's 1533-position model. The record is from RNAcentral.
AUUAAACGCUGGCGGCAUGCCUUACACAUGCAAGUCGAACGGCAGCACGGGGGCAACCCUGGUGGCGAGUGGCGAACGGGUGAGUAAAGCAUCGGAACGUGCCCUGGAGUGGGGGGAUAACGUAGCGAAAGUUACGCUAAUACCGCAUAUUCUGUGAGCAGGAAAGCAGGGGGAUCGCAAGACCUUGCGCUCUGGGAGCGGCCGAUGUCGGAUUAGCUAGUUGGUGGGGUAAAGGCCUACCAAGGCGACGAUCCGUAGCGGGUCUGAGAGGAUGAUCCGCCACACUGGGACUGAGACACGGCCCAGACUCCUACGGGAGGCAGCAGUGGGGAAUUUUGGACAAUGGGCGAAAGCCUGAUCCAGCCAUGCCGCGUGAGUGAAGAAGGCC